GCUUGUCUCAAAGAUUAAGCCAUGCAUGUCUAAGUGUAAAUACGUCUACACUGUGAAACUGCGAAUGGCUCAUUAAAUCAGUUAUCGUUUAUUUGAUGAUCUCUUGUUACAUGGAUAACCGUGGUAAUUCUAGAGCUAAUACAUGCUAUUAGGCCCGACUCACGAAGGGUUGUAUUUAUUAGAUAUAAGCCAAUAUUCCUCGCGUCUAUAAGGUGACUCAUAAUAACUGAUCGAAUCCCUUUUUGGGAUAAAUCAUUCAAGUUUCUGCCCUAUCAGCUUUCGAUGGUUGUGUAUUGGACAACCACUGGCAAUAACGGGUAACGGAGAAUUAGGGUUCGGUUCCGGAGAGUUGGCCUUAAAAAUAGCCAACACAUCUAAGGAAGGCAGCAGG
Molecule: ribosomal RNA, 391 nt
Filed under: uncultured fungus
Lineage: Eukaryota; Fungi
Description: partial small subunit ribosomal RNA
Rfam family: Eukaryotic small subunit ribosomal RNA
Source: RNAcentral